GGCUGGAAGCUUUCGAUUAGGGGCCCUGCCCUUGGGAAGGUCUGAGAUGAGACGUCUAGCCGAAAGGGCACCUAGUUAAUGCUGGGGAUCGUUCAUAACAGAAACGUUCGCUUCUCCUAUGACCGGAACGGAAUGAUUAGGAGGUGCUUGGAAACUGAGCGAUGUCUUAGACUAAAAUAGUCCAACUCGAAAGGCAGCCGUUUGCGUUGUAACCAAAUUCAGACUACUCUCCAGCAUCC
Non-coding RNA from Encephalitozoon hellem ATCC 50504, 239 nucleotides. The record is from RefSeq and is a predicted model, not a curated record. Lineage: Eukaryota; Fungi; Microsporidia; Unikaryonidae.